RNAcentral lists this ribosomal RNA (425 nucleotides) under uncultured bacterium. RNAcentral describes it as "partial 16S ribosomal RNA". It matches the Rfam family "Bacterial small subunit ribosomal RNA", at positions 354 to 796 of the family's 1533-position model. The record is from RNAcentral.
GUGGGGAAUCUUGCGCAAUGGGCGAAAGCCUGACGCAGCCAUGCCGCGUGAAUGAUGAAGGUCUUAGGAUUGUAAAAUUCUUUCACCGGGGACGAUAAUGACGGUACCCGGAGAAGAAGCUCCGGCUAACUUCGUGCCAGCAGCCGCGGUAAUACGAAGGGGGCUAGCGUUGCUCGGAUUUACUGGGCGUAAAGGGCGCGUAGGCGGACAUUUAAGUCAGGGGUGAAAUCCCGGGGCUCAACCUCGGAACUGCCUUUGAUACUGGGUGUCUUGAGUAUGAGAGAGGUGUGUGGAACUCCGAGUGUAGAGGUGAAAUUCGUAGAUAUUCGGAAGAACACCAGUGGCGAAGGCGACACACUGGCUCAUUACUGACGCUGAGGCGCGAAAGCGUGGGGAGCAAACAGGAUUAGAAACCCCAGUAGUCC